UACGGAGGGUGCAAGCGUUAUCCGGAUUCACUGGGUUUAAAGGGUGCGUAGGUGGGCAAGUAAGUCAGUGGUGAAAUCUCCGGGCUUAACCCGGAAACUGCCAUUGAUACUAUUUGUCUUGAAUACUGUGGAGGUCAGCGGAAUAUGUCAUGUAGCGGUGAAAUGCUUAGAUAUGACAUAGAACACCAAUUGCGAAGGCAGCUUGCUACAGGGAUAUUGACACUGAGGCACGAAAGCGUGAGGAUCAAACAGG
RNAcentral lists this ribosomal RNA (253 nucleotides) under uncultured bacterium. RNAcentral's name for it is "partial 16S ribosomal RNA". It matches the Rfam family "Bacterial small subunit ribosomal RNA", at positions 524 to 776 of the family's 1533-position model. The record is from RNAcentral.